UGCGUAGGCGGGCUAAUAAGUCAGUGGUGAAAUCUCUCGGCUCAACCGGGAAACUGCCAUUGAUACUGUUAGUCUUGAGUUCGGUUGGGGUAGGCGGAAUGUGUAAUGUAGCGGUGAAAUGCUUAGAUAUCACACAGAACACCAAUUGCGUAGGCAGCUUACUAGACCGACACUGACGCUGAGGCACGAAAGCGUGGGGAGCGAACAGGAUUAGAUACCCUGGUAGUCC
RNAcentral lists this ribosomal RNA (229 nucleotides) under uncultured bacterium. RNAcentral's name for it is "partial 16S ribosomal RNA". It matches the Rfam family "Bacterial small subunit ribosomal RNA", at positions 568 to 796 of the family's 1533-position model. The record is from RNAcentral.